This 253-nucleotide ribosomal RNA is filed under the name uncultured bacterium. RNAcentral describes it as "partial 16S ribosomal RNA". It matches the Rfam family "Bacterial small subunit ribosomal RNA", at positions 524 to 776 of the family's 1533-position model. The record is from RNAcentral.
UACGUAGGUUGCGAGCGUUAUCCGGAUUCAUUGGGCGUAAAGAGCUUGUAGGUGGCUAUGUAAGUUGGACGUGAAAACUCCGGGCGUAACUUGGAGAUGCCGUUCAAUACUGCGUAGCUUGAGUAUGUCAGAGGGAAGUAGAAUUCCUGGUGUAGCAGUGAAAUGCGUAGAUAUCAGGAGGAAUACCCGUGGCGAAGGCGGCUUCCUGGGACAUAACUGACACUGAGAAGCGAAAGCUAGGGGAGCAAACGGG